ACUGCUCAGUAACACGUGGACAACCUACCCUUAGGUCUGGUAUAACCCCGGGAAACUGGGAAUAAUACCGGAUAUAUCGCGGAGGCUGGAAUGCGUCGCGAUAGAAAGCUCCGGCGCCUAAGGAUGGGUCUGCGGCCUAUCAGGGUAGUAGUGGGUGUAAAGUACCUACUAGCCUACGACGGGUACGGGUUGUGAGAGCAAGAGCCCGGAGAUGGAUUCUGAGACACGAAUCCAGGCCCUACGGGGUGCAGCAGGCGCGAAAACUUUACAAUGCUGGAAACAGCGAUAAGGGGACCUCGAGUGCCAGGAUACAAUCCUGGCUGUCGUAAUGCCUAAAAAGCAUUUCAUAGCAAGGGCCGGGCAAGACCGGUGCCAGCCGCCGCGGUAACACCGGCGGCUCGAGUGGUAACCGCUAUUAUUGGGUCUAAAGGGUCUGUAGCCGGCCGGAUAAGUCUCUUGGGAAAUCUGGCUGCUUAACAGUCAGGCUUUCAGGAGAUACUGUCUGGCUCGAGGCCGGGAGAGGUGAGAGGUACUUCAGGGGUAGGGGUGAAAUCUUGUAAUCCUUGAAGGACCACCAGUGGCGAAGGCGUCUCACCAGAACGGACCUGACGGCAAGGGACGAAAGCUAGGGGCACGAACCGGAUUAGAUACCCGGGUAGUCCUAGCCGUAAACGAUACUCGCUAGGUGUCGGCCAUGGUGCGACCGUGGUCGGUGCCGUAGGGAAGCCGUGAAGCGAGCCACCUGGGAAGUACGGCCGCAAGGCUGAAACUUAAAGGAAUUGGCGGGGGAGCAC
This 794-nucleotide ribosomal RNA is filed under the name uncultured archaeon. RNAcentral's name for it is "bacterial SSU rRNA". It matches the Rfam family "Archaeal small subunit ribosomal RNA", at positions 85 to 879 of the family's 1478-position model. The record is from RNAcentral.